Molecule: ribosomal RNA, 195 nt
Filed under: uncultured bacterium
Lineage: Bacteria
Description: partial 16S ribosomal RNA
Rfam family: Bacterial small subunit ribosomal RNA
Source: RNAcentral
CCUACGGGAGGCAGCAGUGGGGAAUAUUGGACAAUGGGGGGAACCCUGAUCCAGCCAUGCCGCGUGUGUGAAGAAGGCCUUAUGGUUGUAAAGCACUUUAAGCGAGGAGGAGGCUACUUUAGUUAAUACCUAGAGAUAGUGGACGUUACUCGCAAAAUAAGCACCGGCUAACUCUGUGCCAGCAGCCGCGGUAAU